UACGGAGGGAGCUAGCGUUGUUCGGAAUUACUGGGCGUAAAGCGCACGUAGGCGGCUUUGUAAGUUAGAGGUGAAAGCCUGGAGCUCAACUCCAGAAUUGCCUUUAAGACUGCAUCGCUUGAAUCAUGGAGAGGCGGGUGGAAUUCCGAGUGUAGAGGUGAAAUUCGUAGAUAUUCGGAAGAACACCAGUGGCGAAGGCGCCCGCUGGACAUGUAUUGACGCUGAGGUGCGAAAGCGUGGGGAGCAAACAGG
This 252-nucleotide ribosomal RNA is filed under the name uncultured bacterium. RNAcentral's name for it is "partial 16S ribosomal RNA". It matches the Rfam family "Bacterial small subunit ribosomal RNA", at positions 524 to 776 of the family's 1533-position model. The record is from RNAcentral.